This 223-nucleotide long non-coding RNA is filed under the name Phasianus colchicus (ring-necked pheasant). RNAcentral's name for it is "lncRNA (ENSPCLG00000012333.1)". The record is from RNAcentral. Lineage: Eukaryota; Metazoa; Chordata; Aves; Galliformes; Phasianidae.
ACCUCACACAAGAAGGAAAGUGCAGAUUUUCCUAGGUGAUACAGCUGAGAAAAGCAUGGCUGUCGGCUGGGCUCCUCAUGUCUACAGAAGGAAGAGCUAUUGAGUGGUUAUAGCUGAAAGCCUUGCCUGUCUAAGGAAAUGUCAGCAACAUAUUGAAGUAGGAGAAGGAAUAAGGCCUACAAAUCCCCCGGAAUUGUGUGAAGGACGGACUACUUCUGCUCCA